RNAcentral lists this ribosomal RNA (490 nucleotides) under uncultured bacterium. RNAcentral's name for it is "partial 16S ribosomal RNA". It matches the Rfam family "Bacterial small subunit ribosomal RNA", at positions 30 to 507 of the family's 1533-position model. The record is from RNAcentral.
AUUGAACGCUGGCGGCAGGCCUAACACAUGCAAGUCGAACGGUAACAGGAAGAAGCUUGCUUCUUUGCUGACGAGUGGCGGACGGGUGAGUCAUGUCUGGGAAACUGCCUGAUGGAGGGGGAUAACUACUGGAAACGGUAGCUAAUACCGCAUAACGUCGCAAGACCAAAGAGGGGGACCUUCGGGCCUCUUGCCAUCGGCUGUGCCCAGAUGGGAUUAGCUAGUAGGUGGGGUAACGGCUCACCUAGGCGACGAUCCCUAGCUGGUCUGAGAGGAUGACCAGCCACACUGGAACUGAGACACGGUCCAGACUCCUACGGGAGGCAGCAGUGGGGAAUAUUGCACAAUGGGCGCAAGCCUGAUGCAGCCAUGCCGCGUGUAUGAAGAAGGCCUUCGGGUUGUAAAGUACUUUCAGCGGGGAGGAAGGGAGUAAAGUUAAUACCUUUGCUCAUUGACGUUACCCGCAGAAGAAGCACCGGCUAACUCCGUG